GGCAAAAGCUCAAAUUUGAAAUCUGNCNCCUUCGGUGUCCGAGUUGUAAUUUGAAGAUUGUACCCUUGGGGUUGGCUCUUGUCUAUGUUUCUUGGAACAGGACGUCACAGAGGGUGAGAAUCCCGUGCGAUGAGAUGCCCAAUCCUAUGUAAGGUGCUUUCGAAGAGUCGAGUUGUUUGGGAAUGCAGCUCUAAGUGGGUGGUAAAUUCCAUCUAAAGCUAAAUAUUGGCGAGAGACCGAUAGCGAACAAGUACAGUGAUGGAAAGAUGAAAAGAACUUUGAAAAGAGAGUGAAAAAGUACGUGAAAUUGUUGAAAGGGAAGGGUUUGAGAUCAGACUCGAUAUUUUGUGAGCCUUGCCUUCGUGGCGGGGUGACCCGCAGCUUAUCGGGCCAGCAUCGGUUUGGGCGGUAGGAUAAUGGCGUAGGAAUGUGACUUUGCUUCGGUGAAGUGUUAUAGCCUGCGUUGAUGCUGCCUGCCUAGACCGAGGACUGCGAUUUUAUCAAGGAUGCUGGCAUAAUG
This 520-nucleotide ribosomal RNA is filed under the name uncultured Saccharomycetaceae. RNAcentral describes it as "eukaryotic LSU rRNA". It matches the Rfam family "Eukaryotic large subunit ribosomal RNA", at positions 100 to 636 of the family's 3401-position model. The record is from RNAcentral. Lineage: Eukaryota; Fungi; Ascomycota; Saccharomycetes; Saccharomycetales; Saccharomycetaceae.